Molecule: long non-coding RNA, 3571 nt
Organism: Pleuronectes platessa (European plaice)
Lineage: Eukaryota; Metazoa; Chordata; Actinopteri; Pleuronectiformes; Pleuronectidae
Exons: 3
Source: RefSeq, a predicted model, not a curated record
UGGCAGAUUUUAUAUUUAGUUAUGUUUCAUGCAAGGAAUGACAGUUAUAGAUGGGAAUGUUAUUCUGAGAUGUAUUUCUGUGGGUUUAGACUAUAACAUGUGGGGGUCAGCUUAGGAGACUCAGAUGUGUAUUCGUUAGAGAUUCGUCUGUGCCUCUGCUGGGACAAAAGGUUUUCACACCUAGACUCUUUCAUGGGUCAUCCAGCAGAGAUGGGGGUCUAAGAGAGACUUGGAGUCUAAGCAGAUGCCUGAUGUGUAGUGAGACUUUCGAAGGGGUCCUUCAUUCAGAUUGGAGGUGACCAAAUCUAAGCCUGAAGACAACACGCAGAGAACUGAUUGGAUAAACAUUCUACCUCUGUGAAAGGAGGGACUUAUUUAGUAUAAAUCAAAUGUGAUUCCAUUGUUCUGUGCCAUUGACCCAGUCUGACUAAGUGACAGGGUGCUCUGGUCCCUAGCUGCAGCUAGGUAGAAUUGUAUGAACCAGAAUUGAUAAUUGUCUUUGCUGUGAAAUGUAAUAAAAUGUUCCAUUACAUUUGGCGAUUGUCGGCAGAGGCCAUCAUAUAGUGAACUCUGGCUCUUGGAGCUGACGGUAAGUAACUGCAUCGGGGCAGUACGUCUCGGACUAAACCUUCAUUUUACAGAGGGCCUGAUGUCCUGAGAGCGAGGAGUACUCACUAAGAUGACCGAAAGAACCGAGGGGGAUUGGCAAGCAAUUUCGUUCUGGUGAGUAAAAUUCUGAUUUCGAAAAAUAAACUAGGUUUAUAAGGGUUAAGAGAUUCACUCAUUUGUCAAAGUGAGGAGCAGACGUGCUUACAUAGCAAGGUUUUGGAAACCGGUGUAGAAUCCAAGAAGCUUCAGGGUUUGGAACCAAUAAAAGUUAACUGGGUUUAACAAAGUCAGGGUUUGGAACCAACAAGUUAACUGGGUUUAACAAAGUCAGGGUUUAGAACCACUGCAAAAAAAAACAACAAGUUAACUGGGUUUAACAAAGUCAGGGUUUAGAACCACUGCAAAAAAAAAACAAAGCUCAACUGAGUCAAACGGAAUAGAUAUAGAUAUAUGGAGUGUUUAUUAAUUUAAACACAACUUUAAGAUUGAGCUCUGACGUCGAGUUUCAUGAUAAUUAUAACUAUUUUCAUAAAAUAGUAAUAGCAUUCUCAAGUAUUUAGUACCUGGAGGCGUAUAACUGGAGAGAAGUGUGUGUGUAGAGAUUUGAAUGAUAUUUCUCUAAAGGUAUCAGGAUGCACUAAGGGUAUUUUUUCUCAAUGUCUCUUAAGGGAGUGUUUUUUUUUUUAGAUUGGUUGAAGGUAUAAGGUUACUAUAAACGUUACACAAGUGUUGCUGGUUUGAUUACGAGUGUCUGUACAAGUAACCUGUAAGAUUUGAUGAGACCAGUCUGAGAAUUUACAGCUGACAAAGAAAAAGAGAGGAGUGAGAGGAGUUCUUGAAAUUCUCAACACUGGAGCAAGGUGAGUAUAUUUUUAAGUAUAUUUGGGAUAUAAGUAGGCUUUUUAAAGAAUAAUAACAGAAGGAAAAAGGAAAUAGCCUAAAACAAAUCUUAAAAUAAAUUUAAAAUAGACAUUUUUAAGAUAUAAGGAAAACAAUUGGUUUUAAAGAUAAAUUAGGGAGCUUUUAGGGUCAUUCUCCAUACCAGGUAAACUUUAGUCCCCGAAGUUUAGUAUUUUACUAAAUAAAUUAGAGUUAAGACGUAACUGUUAAAACAUACCAUUGGAGAGAUGUGGAGAUAUUUGUGCCAGACUUGAGAGCAUUUGAAUGUUGGUUCACUGAAGUGAAUAUCAGAGAAAGAAUUCAGGAGGUUGUAACUGAAAUAAUCUCAAGGUCCCAGGAUCUCCAAUUAAGUUCUGAUCUUGAUGCAUCUCCACUAAGAGGGAGACCGCUGCAGACAGAAAAUGCAUCAGCUUCAACCGUCCCAAUCCACACUUCAGGAAUUCAACUUUGUUGUUGAGGAGAAGGUGAGCAUACCUUCAGUUUUCACCAUUUUACAUGUGAAAGAUGUGCAAAUUUUUCAGAGACGCUGAAAAUGGCACAAAUAACAGCUUGGAGAUGCCAAGCCCGUGGAAGAGGGAGACAAAGAGGUUCAACAAAAACUUCAUCUAAGAUAAACCAAGGGAGGCAAAGCUUCAAACAUGUCUCAGAGCUAUGGUAGCUGCUGAGAGAACUGUUAUAUGUGAUGUGUGAUAUGUGAUACUUUGAAAUAAGACUUUACUAGUGUCAUAUGCUGUAACAAUGAUAUUGCUUGAGAAAAAAUGAUCACUUUUCAACAGCUAGGUGGUUCAGCUAGGAUACAGUAUUGUUUUUUAGAUGAUAGACAUUACUAUUACAGAUAGAAAGUGUUUAACUAGGAAACUCUUAGCUACAUCAGUAGAAGAGGUUUUAGACUAAACUAAAGCUUUUCUCCUGAAUUAGGAUUUAAAUGGUAAUCAAGCUGAUAAAUGUAAACGUGAAGUGUUUUGUGACUGUUUCAGCUUCAAAGGUUUCCGCAGUGUGAUAACAAAGUGGGUUACGACUGUGGGACACAGAGGAAAUCAACCCCCUUCACAUUAUAUGCAUUGACCAAAGAGAUGCAAAUAUGCUAGAGACGAGAGUGUCAAGAUUUACACUGACAGCAGGUUUGCAUGUGAUGGGGGGCUGAAUAGACAUUCAUGAACUUAACUUUAACACCAUUGUUUUUGCUUGACUGUGGUAUUUGUGUUUUGCAAGCAGUAUGCAGUUGGCCGAGAACAUGGAUUACGGUUUGAAGAUUUGAAUAUUGACAUUUGAUAUGGCUUAUAGGAGCUGUAAGCAAAGUUACAUAGGAACUUAAAUUUUUUAGAAUUUAGACUUAAUACAUUUAGGAAUUAAGUAGUUUUGAUUAACAGGAGUUUAUUUGGUUGUUGAUUAGUUUAAAUGUGGGUCAUAAAGAUGAUUUUGAUAGUUUCAUUUUGAAUAUGUUUCUUCAUUAGGUUGGAUUGACACAAGACUGGUGUCUAAGUGUCAAAAGGGAGGAGUUACAUAUGAAAUGAAAUUAAAUAUAGGUAUAUUGAGUGUACAGACAAUACACACUUAAUAAUAUUCACUAAAACUUUUUAACUUUUUAGAAGAGUUGUGUGAUUUGAGUUACAAAAUAAAAAGGUAAAACAAUCUGGAUUCCACAAGGUGAACAUCCACCUCCAAAUAAACAACUUGAUCAUUCAUAAAGAGAUUUGAUAAAGAUAAAAAUUAUGUAAGUUAGGGAAAUGAAUAAAUACUGUUUUAUUUUCAUUGAAAUGUUUUCUAUGCAAGCAGAAGUUUCCCAACAUCUAAACAGGAUUCUUCAGCAGUGAAGGAGUCACUGCUCGGGAGAACUUAUCCAUGAUGGGAGAGUCUAAAAGGAUGUCCACUGAUAAUUGUACCCAAUUUGUAAGCGCAGCAUUAAGGAUGCUGGCAGAUGAAGGAGAAUCUAUUGGAAAUCCAUGGAAAGGGAGCUGCAUGCGAAGGAACCAGGAGAAUGGAUUGUACUGAAGGACGUGAGGAGAAAAGAUUGGAAGAGGACGUCGAUGGAACGAGUGCAAGCCAAAUGCCUCUCACCAGA